RNAcentral lists this non-coding RNA (311 nucleotides) under Vibrio vulnificus. Lineage: Bacteria; Pseudomonadati; Pseudomonadota; Gammaproteobacteria; Vibrionales; Vibrionaceae. The record is from RNAcentral.
AAAUUCAAUACUGUCUUCGUCAACAGGAUGUUGGCGGGAACAGGAACAAAGCCUAAAGGAUUGGGUAUCUUCAGGAUGAAGAUUUGAUAACUUAGGAUGAGUUGUCAGCAAGGACGUUACACUCUGGGAUAGAGUUACGCCAGUCAGGAUGACAGGCCAGGAAGGACACCGCUAGGAAGGCGAUGGACAAAGGAUUAGGUUAAAGGAUUUAGCCAAUAUCAUGGAUAGAUGCAGGGAGCACUAUCAGUAGCUGGAUUGCUGCGAAAGAGAAUAAGCCCCGCUUGGGAAACCAGGCGGGGUUUUAUUUUUUC